Mustela erminea (ermine) is the source of this 284-nucleotide long non-coding RNA. RefSeq lists it as uncharacterized. NCBI's taxonomy places the organism in Eukaryota, Metazoa, Chordata, Mammalia, Carnivora, Mustelidae. The record is from RefSeq and is a predicted model, not a curated record. The transcript is spliced from 3 exons.
GAGAAUGGAAUCAAAAUAGAGGCCGCCUCUGAAAGGUUCCAGUUAAUGUCCACUGGAAUAAGCAUUUUCAUCAACCUCUUCAGCAAUAGCUCCAAAUGGACUGGCUGUUGGGUUUCACAGGAAACCAGGUUUGGAGAGAAGGGUGCAAACUUUGAGGAAAUGUCUGAGUCAGAAGGAAAUUUCAUCAAAUGACACAUCAGACUGCAGUCACAGAGAUGUGUUAGCCAAAAGAUGGAGUUGAGUCCUUGCUGGGAGACUGGGGUUUUCAAGAUGAAGCCCUCAAA